RNAcentral lists this ribosomal RNA (253 nucleotides) under uncultured bacterium. Its description in RNAcentral is "partial 16S ribosomal RNA". It matches the Rfam family "Bacterial small subunit ribosomal RNA", at positions 524 to 776 of the family's 1533-position model. The record is from RNAcentral.
UACGGAGGGAGCUAGCGUUGUUCGGAAUUACUGGGCGUAAAGCGCACGUAGGCGGCUUUCCAAGUUGGCGGUGAAAGCCCCGGGCUCAACCUGGGAAUGGCAAUGGAUACUGGCAGGCUAGAGUGCGGUAGAGGGUAGUGGAAUUCCCGGUGUAGCAGUGAAAUGCGUAGAGAUCGGGAGGAACACCAGUGGCGAAGGCGGCUACCUGGACCAGCACUGACACUGAGGCACGAAAGCGUGGGGAGCAAACAGG